Microcebus murinus (gray mouse lemur) is the source of this 455-nucleotide non-coding RNA. The record is from RefSeq and is a predicted model, not a curated record. NCBI's taxonomy places the organism in Eukaryota, Metazoa, Chordata, Mammalia, Primates, Cheirogaleidae.
ACCAUUGAGAAUGUCAAGGCAAAGAUCCAAGACAAGGAAGGCAUCCCCCUGAUCAGCAGAGGCUGAUCUUUGCCGGGAAGCAGCUGGAAGAUGGGCGCACCCUGUCCGACUACAACAUCCAGAAGGAGUCCACCCUGCACCUGGUGCUCCGUCUGAGAGGUGGGAUGCAGAUCUUUGUGAAGACCCUGACCGGCAAGACCAUCACCCUCGAGGUUGAGCCCAGUGAUACCAUUGAGAAUGUCAAGGCAAAGAUCCAAGACAAGGAAGGCAUUCCCCCUGAUCCGCAGAGGCUGAUCUUUGCUGGGAAGCAGCUGGAAGAUGGGCGCACCCUCUCUGACUACAACAUCCAGAAAGAGUCCACCAUGCACUUGGUCCUGCGCUUGAGGGGAGGUGUCUAAGUUUAAGCUUUCAACAAAUUUCAUUGCACUUUUCUUUCAGUAAAGUUGUUGCAUUCC